AUACCUAAAUUAGUUGGGCGUCACAAGAUUUUUCAUAUAAAAUUGCACCUACUCUUUUCAUGAUGUACUCUUCUUUUUUUAAAGGGGUAUGAUACUCGUAUGGUGACAACGUAUCAUAAAGGACUAUCGGGUAACGAAGACCAGGAUACGGUACAAUAGAGCAAUACCAUUGGAAGAUCAGAGUACACUAGUGGAUCAACCAAAUAUGAGGCAACCAACAAGAAAAUGGAGGCUGAGCUGGGUUGUAAGUUCUGUCGAAGCGAGCUAUUCGAGAGGACCCACACCAAGAAGAAUGAUUGCCUAAAAUGAGUCGACAAAUGCUUAGAUGAGACUGCUGUAAGUUUUCUGAAUCUUACCUUUAUUCAAAUAUUAAUCAACUAAAGUAUAUCUAUUUAUUUAAAGGACUAAACUUGACAAGUGUUUGUUCAUUAUCUCUUCGAGGAGGAAUUAGUAAAGGUCCUUGAGAAGCGUCAAACACAGAUCGCUAAGGACGGUCUGACCCUCCCCAUUUUAAAAGAUGAAAUCUGGACUUAGACGGUCAACAGUCACAAGAGAGAGAUAAUAUAUGAGGUUGGACUUAUUUGCAGUUUUUCGAUGCUGAUGAAUUCUUCACUGUCAGCAGACCAACAGAUAUCAAGGAUCAGAUUACCCUACUCAAUAGAGAGCUGACACGAUAGAUGGAGUAACACUGGAAGUUGUAGACAAAUUACCAGUAAGAGCGAGAAGAGUGAAUAUAUGCUUAUCAGAGAUAUAAGAGAGAGAUCGUCCACAUGAGCACAGAGUUUAAUGGGAUGAGGACUCAGGUGUCCCAGAUGUAUUUCUUGUAUAUGCAGCACAUGUAAAGCGGCUUCUUUCAACCGUACAUAUGGCAUGCCUCUUUCCCCUUCCACCUCUUCUAUAUCUUUUGCAUCCUCUACCAUGACCACCAUUUGCUAGACCCUCACUGACGAGCACCGAGAGGACCCAAAGGAUCAUUAUGAUGAAGAUGGCCUAGAUGAUGAUUAUGCUUAGUAUAUUUUGUAGUUAGGACUUAUUUAUGCUAUUUAUCAUCGAUUUGUGUAAGAAUAAUAUAUUUUAUUACUUAAUAAGUUACAAAUAAUGCACUAUUUAUUAUUUAUAUUCAAAA
Molecule: non-coding RNA, 1126 nt
Organism: Arachis ipaensis
Lineage: Eukaryota; Viridiplantae; Streptophyta; Magnoliopsida; Fabales; Fabaceae
Source: RefSeq, a predicted model, not a curated record